UGCCAGCAGCCGCGGUAAUACGGAGAGGGCAAGCGUUGUUCGGAAUCACUGGGCAUAGAGCGCACGUAGGCGGAUUGGAUAGUCAGUUGUGAAAGCCCGGGGCUCAACCCCGGAAUUGCAUUGGAUACUGGCAGUCUUGAGUAUGGGAGAGGAAAGUGGAAUUCCGAGUGUAGGAGUGAAAUCCGUAGAUAUUCGGAGGAACACCAGUGGCGAAGGCGGCUUUCUGGACCGAUACUGACGCUAAGGUGCGAAAGCGUGGGGAGCAAACAGGAUUAGAUA
This 279-nucleotide ribosomal RNA is filed under the name uncultured bacterium. Its description in RNAcentral is "partial 16S ribosomal RNA". It matches the Rfam family "Bacterial small subunit ribosomal RNA", at positions 506 to 784 of the family's 1533-position model. The record is from RNAcentral.